RNAcentral lists this ribosomal RNA (3120 nucleotides) under Capsicum baccatum. RNAcentral describes it as "eukaryotic LSU rRNA". The stretch from base 3 to 1474 matches the Rfam family "Eukaryotic large subunit ribosomal RNA". The record is from RNAcentral. Lineage: Eukaryota; Viridiplantae; Streptophyta; Magnoliopsida; Solanales; Solanaceae.
GCGACCCCAGGUCAGGUGGGAUUACCCGUUGAGUUUAAGCAUAUCGAUCAUAGGAGGAAAAGAAACUUACAAGGAUUCCCUUAGUAACGGCGAGCGAAUCAGGAACAGCCCAGCCUUAGAAUCGGGCGGCUCCGUCGUCCGAAUUGUAGUCUGGAGAAGCGUCCUCAGCGGCGGACCGGGCCCAAGUCCCCUGGAAGGGGGCGCCGAAGAGGGUGAGAGCCCCGUCGUGCCCGGACCCUAUCACACCACGAGGUGCUGUCUACGAGUCGGGUUGUUUGGGAAUACAACCCAAAUCGGGCGGUGAAUUCCAUCCAAGGCUAAAUACGGGCGAGAGACCGAUAGCGAACAAGUACCGCGAGGGAAAGAUGAAAAGGACUUUGAAAAGAGAGUCAAAUAGCGCUAGAAAUUGUCGGGAGGAAAGCGGAUGGGGGCCGGCGAUGCGCCCCAUUCGUAUGUGGAACGGCGACGAGCUGGUACGCCGAUCGAACCGGGGUGUGGAACAGCGUGGAUUGGGGGGGCGGCCAAAGCCCGGGCUCUUGAUACGCUCGUGGAAUUCCGUCUCCUCGAAUGUGGAAGGCAGCACGCGCCUCCGGCAUGCUUCGGCAUAUGCGCGCUCCGGAUGCUGGCCUGUGGGCACCCCAUUCGACCCGUCUUGAAACACGGACCAAGGAGUCUGAUAUGUGUGCGAGUCAACGGGCGAGUAAACCCGUAAGGCGCAAGGAAGCUGAUUGGUGGGAUCCCCCCGAGGGGUGCACCGCCGACCGACCUUGAUCUUCUGAGAAGGGUUCGAGUGUGAGCAUACCUGUCGGGACCCGAAAGAUGGUGAACUAUGCCUGAGCGGGGCGAAUCCAGAGGAAACUCUGGUGGAGACCCGCAGCGAUACUGACGUGAAAAUCGUUCGUCUGACUUGGGUAUAGGGGCGAAAGACUAAUUGAACCGUCUAGUAGCUGGUUCCCUCCGAAGUUUCCCUCAGGAUAGCUGGAGCUCGCGUGCGAGUUCUAUCGGGUAAAGCCAAUGAUUAGAGGCCUCGGGGACGCAACGCCAUCGAACUAUUCUCAAACUUUAAAUAGGUAUGACGGCGCAAUUGCUUAAUUGAGCCGCGCCACGGAAUCAAGAGCUCCGAGUGGGCCAUUUUAGGUAAGCAGAACUGGCCAUGCAGGAUGAACCGGAAGCCGGGUUACUGUGCCAAAAUGCGCGCUAACCUAGAUCCCACAAAGGGUGUUGGUCGAUUAAGACAGCAGGACGGUGGUCAUGGAAGUCGAAAUCCGCUAAGGAGUGUGUAACAACUCACCUGCCGAAUCAACUAGCCCCGAAAAUGGAUGGCGCUUAAGCGCGCGACCUACACCCGGCCGUCGGGGCAAGUGCCAGGCCCCGAUGAGUAGGAGGGCGCGGCGGUCGCUGCAAAACCUUGGGCGCGAGCCCGGGCGNUGCCAUGGCACCGUGGCGCCAUGGCACCAAGGAACCAAGGCACCAUGGCACCAUGGCACCAUGGCACCAAGAAAGCAAGGCACCGCGGCACCAUGGCACCGGGGCAUCGUGGCACCAAGGCACCAACGGACCAAGGCACUGUCGUGGUGCCAUUGUACCGUGGCACCAUGGCACCAAGGCACCAAGGCACCAUGGCACCAUGGCACCAAGGCACCGUGGCACCGUGGCACCAAUGCACCAAGGCACCAUAGCACCGUGGUACCAAGGCAGCAUGGCGCCAUGGCACCAAGGCACCGUGGCGCCGUGGCACCGUGGCACCAAGGCACCAUGGCACCAAGGCACUAACGCACCGUGGCAAAAUCAAAAGAGCGUAAACCUACGUUCGAUCAUCCUAAUAUUUUCCUGACGUUAAUCCAUCCUCCUCACCGUUGCAUACUCAUUUUUCUACAUAUCCGCUCAAAUUUUUUUAUUUUAAAUAUAUUUCAAUGUUACCUCAUAUGUCGUGGCGGUUUUCGUAAUGUCCCGUCGCCUUCUUUUCAAAUUUUUAUUUAAUAUCCUUAAAUUUAAAUAUUUUAUAUCGUUAUGUCAUUCGUACAAAUGCGCACUCAAUUGUUGGUUUAAGGCUACUUCAUUCUAAUAUGCAUAUUUUGGGGUUGUCACUUAUCCGUUGCAUUCUUGGCGAUUUUCCUAAUGACCCCACGUUAUUUUUAUAUUUUUUUAAAAUUUUUAUUUAAUAUCCUUAAAUUUAAAUAUUUUAUAUCAUUACAUUAUACGUACAAAUAUGCACUCGAUUGUUGGUUUAAGGUUAGUUCAUGCGCUGAGAAUAUUUUCCUAAUUUUUUCAUAUUUUUAUAAAUAUUUUUUCUAUUUUUGAUUUAUUUUUACAUAUUUUUUGAAUUUUAAUAAAUGAUAUUUGUAAAAAAAUAUUUUCUCAACGAAAAUUAUAAUUUACAAAUUACGCGACCUUUUUGUGAGUGCACAGGCUCCGUAUCUCAUCAAAACGUGCAGUUCGGGUCCGCAUAUGUCUGGUAUGAUUCUCUGGCAAAAUCAUGUCUACUAAUGUCAGUUGGAUUUUUUUUUUAAUCAUACAUAAGGGGGGUAGAGGUGUUGAAGGCACUUCAAGGCAACUGUCGGUAGUUGGCAUAGGCGCUCAGUGUCCAUGUCGGCGAGCAGCGUGGGCGCAUGGCAGCAUGCAUGGCUAGUCCGUACGAGCCAUCCGUGCCCGUGUAGCAACGUCGGCAGCGCUUCAUUGUACGCGUCUUGCUCGAAGUCGGUUUCCUGUGCUGCAUACCUAAUGCCCAGGCAUUAUCAAGUUUUAUCGAUCGCCCUUUGCCCCUCGCAUUACGUGCGUGGGGCGAAUCGAAAGGCCGCUCUCGCGUCCCACGACUCCCUCGCUUCGUCGUGCGAUGUCGUGGUCCGCAAGCGGCGGUCCGGAUUCUCGAAUGCGGCAGACGCAGUGGGCAUGGGGACUUCAUCGGCUCCUAUCUGCCCCGUACGAUGCUCCUUGUAAACGACGGUCGCGCUCACCUUGAAUCCAUCUGCGCCCCCGCGGGCAGGCCGGGCUCAUGCGACGCCGACGUCGAUGAGGAAUGCUACCUGCUUGAUCCUGCCAGUAGUCAUAUGCUUGUCUCAAAGAUUAAGCCAUGCAUGUGUAAGUAUGAACAAAUUCAGACUGUGAAACUGCGAAUGGCUC